GUUUGUUUGUUUGUUUAAAGAUCACCUGUACCUGUUUGAGUUUUUGUUGUUUGUUUGUUUGUUUAAAGAUCACCUGUACCUGUUUGAGUUUUUGUUGUUUGUUUGUUUGUUUAAAGAUCACCUGUACCUGUUUGAGUUUUUUUGUUUGUUUGUUUGUUUGUUUGUUUGUUUGUUUGUUUGUUUAAAGAUCACCUGUACCUGUUUGAGUUUUUGUUGUUUGUUUGUUUGUUUAAAGAUCACCUGUACCUGUUUGAGUUUUUGUUGUUUGUUUGUUUGUUUAAAGAUCACCUGUACCUGUUUGAGUUUUUGUUGUUUGUUUGUUUGUUUAAAGAUCACCUGUACCUGUUUGAGUGUUUGUUUGUUUUUUUGUUUGUUUGUUUGUUUGUUUGUUUGCUUGUUUAAAGAUCACCAGUACCUGUUUGAGUUUUUUGUUUGUUUGAUUGUUUGUUUGUUUAAAGAUCACCUGUACCUGUUUGAGUUUUUUUUUUUGUUUGUUUGUUUGUUUAAAGAUCACCAGUACCUGUUUUAGGUUUUUUU
Molecule: long non-coding RNA, 537 nt
Organism: Ictalurus punctatus (channel catfish)
Lineage: Eukaryota; Metazoa; Chordata; Actinopteri; Siluriformes; Ictaluridae
Source: Ensembl